This 397-nucleotide ribosomal RNA is filed under the name uncultured bacterium. RNAcentral describes it as "partial 16S ribosomal RNA". It matches the Rfam family "Bacterial small subunit ribosomal RNA", at positions 523 to 918 of the family's 1533-position model. The record is from RNAcentral.
AUACGUAGGGGGCAAGCGUUAUCCGGAUUUACUGGGUGUAAAGGGAGCGUAGACGGCGAUGCAAGUCUGAAGUGAAAACCCGGGGCUCAACCCCGUGGACUGCUUUGGAAACUGUAUUGCUGGAGUGCAGGAGAGGUGAGUGGAAUUCCUAGUGUAGCGGUGAAAUGCGUAGAUAUUAGGAGGAACACCAGUGGCGAAGGCGGCUCACUGGACGGUAACUGACGUUGAGGCUCGAAAGCGUGGGGAGCAAACGGGAUUAGAUACCCGGGUAGUCCACGCCGUAAACGAUGAAUGCUAGGUGUCGGGGGGCAAAGCCCUUCGGUGCCGCCGCUAACGCAUUAAGCAUUCCACCUGGGGAGUACGUUCGCAAGAAUGAAACUCAAAUGAAUUGACGGGG